CAAAGUACAACAAAACUAUCAGGUGGAUGACUUGGCUCAGAACGCUGAUGAAGGAUGUGGCAAGCUACACUAUGCUCCGGCAAGGCGCACGCAGCCAUUGAACCGGAGAUUUCCGAAUGUGACUUCACCUUGAAUCCGCAAGGAUGGGGAACGCAGGGAAUUGAAACAUCUUAGUACCUGCAGGAAAAGAAAUCAAAAGAGAUGCUGUUAGUAAGAGCGACCGAAAACAGCACAAGGCAAACCGAAUCCUUUUCUGAAAGGAAAAGGAAAUGUGGUGUUGCAGGACUGCAGUAUAACCUUUCUUUUGGGAACUCAAACUUGCCUGGAAUGGCAGGCCUUAGAGGGUGAGAGCCCCGUAGAGGCAACUGAAAAAGGGUUUAGCAUGUUCCUGAGUACCGUUUACUGGAAACUAAGCGGGAAUCUGGGAGGCAUCAACUCCUAACCUUAAAUACGUUCUGAGUCCGAUAGCGCACAGUACCGUGAGGGAAAGUUGAAAAGAACCCAUGACAGGGAGUUAAAAGAUCCUGAAACCUGAUAGUAAUGGAGAGGCAGGGCUCUUAGGAGUUCUGCCGUGCGUUUUGAAUAACGUGCCAGGGAGUUUAUCUAAGUGGCAAGGAUAAUUCUGGAAAAGAAGCAUCCGGAGAGAAAUCAACAUGCUCGCAGCUUGCAAGGAGCGGGGUAUUAACGUGCCCGAAGUCACUUGGAUAUGACCCGAAACCGGACGAUCUAACCCUGAGUAAGGUGAAGCGGGGAUAAAACCUCGUGGAGGCCUGAAGAGGUUCUAUGUGCAAGUGUUCUUCUAACUUGGGGCUAGGGGUGAAAAGCCAAUCGAGUCCGGUGAUAGCUGGUUCCUGCCGAAGUUGGCCGUAGUCAAGCUUCGGAUGAGACCGCUAAGGUGGUAGAGCUACGGAUUGGGGAUUUAGGCCUCGAAAGGGGUCGGUUCGCUGUCCAACUCCGAAUGCCUUAGCGUCGUAGAUUCCGGAAGACGGCGGCUCGUCGUAAGGGUGAGUCGCGAGAGGGGAACAACCCAGACUGCAGUUAAGGUCCCAAAAUAUCUGCUAAGUGUUAAAGGGUGAAGAAUAUCCAUGGCCAAAGACAGCGAGGAGGUUGGCUUAGAAGCAGCCAUCCUUUAAAAAGUGUGUAACAACUUACUUGUCAAGGUUAUGGGUGUCGAAGAUGGACGGGGCUAAGCAGAUUACCGAUACUGCAGACAGCCUAAAAGGCUUGUGAUAGGCAGGCAUUCUGGCAGGCGAGAAGCAUUUCCGUAAGGGGAUGUGGACCUGUCAGGAAAGAAAAUCCUGGUAAAAGUAAGAGCAAAGCAGAGUGAGAUUCUCUGCCGUCGAAGGGGCAAGGGUUCCUUGACAAUAGAGUUUAGUCAAGGGUUAGUUGAUCCUAACCUAGCUCAUAAGUUGAGCAAUGGGAAAGGGAAAAAGGUUAAUAUUCCUUUACUGCCCGGAUAUCCGGCAACGAUAGCCUGAUUUCUGAUGCUUUGGGAUAGGCUAAUACAGACCGUCGUCUGUAUCAACUGAGACAAGUCAAUGGAGUAUCAUCAUGAUGAGAAGUUGACUAAACUCAGGAUGAGUGGCCCUUAUGGGUCAUUUAGCUGAUACCUGGAGCCCGUGAAAAGGGAAUCAGGACAGAUUCCGGGCAAUCAUACCCAGAACCGGCACAGGUGCCCCUAGGUGAGAAGCCUAAGACGUGAAGGAGUAAUCUAAUUGAGGGAAUUCGGCAAAUUAGCCCCGUACCUUCGGUAUAAGGGGUCCCUGCAAUCGUAUUCGCACGAGUGCGAUCGCAGGGCUCAGUGACAAAGACGGUCCGACUGUUUAACAAAAACUUAACUGACUGCUAGCCUGCAAAGGUGCGUAUAGUCGGUGAUAUCUGCCCAGUGUCAGUACCUAAAACCUCUUUUCAAGGAGGCUAAGGGCUGGUAAACGGCGGGGGUAACUAUAACUCUCUUAAGGUAGCGUAAUACCUUGCCGAUUUAAUGUCGGCUUGCAUGAAUGGUAUAACGAGAUCGUCGCUGUCCCCAAUUAGAACCCUCCGAAAAUUCUUUCCUGGUGCAAAAGCCAGGGAUCUCCAGCGGGAAGUAAAGACCCCGUGAAACUUUACUGUAGCCUGUAGCUGUGAUGUGGGCCCUGAUGUGCAGUGUAGGUGGGAGUCGCUAAAGCUUAGACGCUAGUUUAAGUGUAGACGCCGAUGAGACACCACCCUUCAGAACCUACGUCACUUACUGAGAGACUCAGGACAACUAUAGGUGGACAGUUUGGCUGGGGUGGCACUCUACUGAAAAGAUAUCAGUAGAGCCCAAUGGUUGGCUCAGACGGGUCGGAAAUCCGUUGCAGAGUGCAAGAGCAAAAGCCAGCCUGACUGGAUUCUGACUAAUAAGGGAUCCAGAGAAGAAAUUCUGGUCUAGCGAACCCCUAUGCCUUCUUGAUGAGGGCUAGGUAUGACAGAAAAGUUACUCCGGGGAUAACAGAGUUGUCGCGCCCGAGAGUUCGUAUCGACGGCGCGGCUUGCUACAUCGAUGUCGGCUCUUCCUAUCCUGGCCGUGCACAAGCGGCCAAGGGUGGGGGUGUUCACCCAUUAAAAGGGAUCGUGAGCUGGGUUCAGAACGCUGUGAGGCAGUUUGUUUAAUAUCUGCUGGAGAUGUAGGAUAUCUGAAAGGAAGGAUCCUUUAGUACGAGAGGAACGAGGACUCGGGGCCUCUGGUCCACCGGUUAUCUGACAAGGUAGGCCGGGCAGCUACGCCCCAAGGGAUAAGUGCUGAAAGCAUCUAAGCACGAAGCUCACCUUGAAAAGAGAUAUCAUGGAGCGCGGGUAGAAGACCCGUUUGAUGGGACCGGUGUGUACGCAUCAAGCUGCGGCGAGAUGUUCAGCAUGCGGUUUCCAACAGUUCCUUGUACUUUGCC
RNAcentral lists this ribosomal RNA (2909 nucleotides) under Candidatus Woesearchaeota archaeon. Its description in RNAcentral is "bacterial LSU rRNA". It matches the Rfam family "Archaeal large subunit ribosomal RNA". The record is from RNAcentral. Lineage: Archaea; Nanobdellati; Candidatus Woesearchaeota.